Molecule: long non-coding RNA, 682 nt
Filed under: Cricetulus griseus (Chinese hamster)
Lineage: Eukaryota; Metazoa; Chordata; Mammalia; Rodentia; Cricetidae
Description: lncRNA (ENSCGRG00000024651.1)
Source: RNAcentral
AUUUUCAGUCCUUUUUUCAGUUAAUUUACUAUGAUUCACCUUGUUUGUGCUCCCUACAGGUCAGUUUGAUAUUCCCGAAGGGGUCGUCUUUUCUAUGCCUGUGAAAUUUGAGAAUGGAACUUGGGAGGUUCUUACAGACCUCGAAGGCAUUUCGCUGAGUGAACAGAUAAUAAAGAGGCUCACAGAUGAUCUGAUUCAGGAGAAACUUGUUGCACUUGGAGACUUAUUAACUUUCCAGCCAGUUAAAGAAGAACAUAGAGAUAGCGUACAUUCCAAUGUAGGCCUGAAUGAAGAAAAAGAGCAAGUCGAGUUGUACGACUCUGAGGGAAAAACUGAGGAUGAAACAGCAAUUUAACCAGAUCAAAUACACAGGAGUUGAAUAAAUUAAGAACCCUGAGUGUCCCUGAAGAUCCCCAAACUCCUAGUGCAGUCUAGUCCCAUUUUUAUUGAUUAUUGCAUGCCCUCAAAAAUAAAUGUGCUAAUUGCUGUUUCAAAUACCUCAACAGAGUGCUAUCAAUCAUUGCAUCUUUGCCUGGACAUCACCUGUUUCCUUGCACCUAGCCAUCCUGGUACUCACUAUACAGACCAAGGGGCCUUAAAGUCACAGAAAUAUACCUGCUGCAUAUGCCUCCCAAGUACUGGGAUUAAUGGUGUAUACCACUAUGGUCAACUUCUACCUGGC